The sequence is a regulatory RNA element, 80 nucleotides long. It matches the Rfam family "S10-Clostridia ribosomal protein leader". The record is from Rfam.
UGAUAGCUGUGAAGCGUGAGGUUGCUGUCGUAAGACAGGUUUUCCGUGGAGCGAAUGUCAAGUUAGGAAACUGACGACAA